RNAcentral lists this ribosomal RNA (495 nucleotides) under uncultured bacterium. RNAcentral's name for it is "partial 16S ribosomal RNA". It matches the Rfam family "Bacterial small subunit ribosomal RNA", at positions 28 to 507 of the family's 1533-position model. The record is from RNAcentral.
GACGAACGCUGGCGGCGUGCCUAAUACAUGCGAGUAGAACGCUGAAGGAGGAGCUUGCUCUUCUGGAUGAGUUGCGAACGGGUGAGUAACGCGUAGGUAACCUGCCUGGUAGCGGGGGAUAACUAUUGGAAACGAUAGCUAAUACCGCAUAACAGUAGAUGUUGCAUGACAUUUACUUAAAAGGUGCAAUUGCAUCACUACCAGAUGGACCUGCGUUGUAUUAGCUAGUUGGUGGGGUAACGGCUCACCAAGGCGACGAUACAUAGCCGACCUGAGAGGGUGAUCGGCCACACUGGGACUGAGACACGGCCCAGACUCCUACGGGAGGCAGCAGUAGGGAAUCUUCGGCAAUGGACGGAAGUCUGACCGAGCAACGCCGCGUGAGUGAAGAAGGUUUUCGGAUCGUAAAGCUCUGUUGUAAGAGAAGAACGAGUGUGAGAGUGGAAAGUUCACACUGUGACGGUAGCUUACCAGAAAGGGACGGCUAACUACGUG